UCCACUGCCCUUUCCCAUCUCUGCGUGCACGGAUUUUGAUGAUCAUAGAAACUGAUUGUAUUUUCUCCCGUACAGUUGCCGUGGCCAGAGCACAAGUACAACAGGAGCCGACACUGGAGACGACCGACGGUACUGGAAUAAAUAUCAGCUGCUCACAUUCCCAAAUACAGACCAACGAUUGGAUCCACUGGUACCGUCAGAUCCCGAGCGGAGGAUUCGAAUUCCUCGUGAGCGCUCACAAAGGGGUCAGAGAGCUGCCGGACAUCGCAGGAAAGCUGUCGGUGUCGGCAGAUCGGCGAUGGAGCGCGCUGUGGCUCGGGCGGCCCCGGCGCGGGGACGCGGCCGUGUAUUACUGCGCGCUGGGCCACGGGCAGAGGAGCCGGGGCUGCGGCCGGGCACGAACCGCCGCGGGCGGGGCCGGGCGGGGCCGGCAGGGGCCGCUCCGCUCCCGGCUGACGCCGCUGGGCGGGACCGGCACCGAGCCGAGCCUGGGACCCGCGGGACCCCGGCCGGGAGCGAACACGGGCCUGGCCUUCCACGAGAGACCCCUCCGAGCUCAAGGAUGCUGUCCUGCAAUGUGUACAGAACAAUUCUGAUGGACAGGAGCAUUUCAUUAGCUGUCAAGGGAAUCAGGAUAGGUAUUUCUGAGUCUAUUGGCAGCCAAAGAAAGGCUCAGAAGAUGUUGGCUCAUUGCUCGCUGACGAAGGCCUGCUGAAAUGACAAGGAAAAGGCUGGCACAGUCAGUGCCUUUUUGCCCACAUUUUACCUUCAGUCUGCUCUCCUCAGUUCCAUCACAUUGCCGAGCUUCCCUGAAGAUUUCUGGGAAUAAAUCAGUAUCCAGAGUAGAGGAAGAUGUAACUAAAGAACUCCUACUGCACAUACACCAGUCCACAUUGUCACAAACACACCCAAAGAGUAACUCAUAGCCUUGCAUUUAUGAAGAGAUGUGUGUAAACCCAUUUCCAAAGCAGAUCCAAGCACUGACAAUUCUCCUUCUGGCACGUCCCCAUCGAUGUUCAAACA
Molecule: non-coding RNA, 1023 nt
Organism: Oenanthe melanoleuca
Lineage: Eukaryota; Metazoa; Chordata; Aves; Passeriformes; Muscicapidae
Source: the annotation of a RefSeq genome assembly